This 445-nucleotide ribosomal RNA is filed under the name uncultured bacterium. RNAcentral describes it as "bacterial SSU rRNA". It matches the Rfam family "Bacterial small subunit ribosomal RNA", at positions 330 to 792 of the family's 1533-position model. The record is from RNAcentral.
ACCAGACUCCUACGGGAGGCAGCAGUGGGGAAUAUUGCACAAUGGGGGAAACCCUGAUGCAGCGACGCCGCGUGAGUGAAGAAGUAUUUCGGUAUGUAAAGCUCUAUCAGCAGGGAAGAAAAUGACGGUACCUGAUUAAGAAGCCCCGGCUAACUACGUGCCAGCAGCCGCGGUAAUACGUAGGGGGCAAGCGUUAUCCGGAUUUACUGGGUGUAAAGGGAGCGUAGACGGUGAUGCAAGUCAGAAGUGAAAGCCCGGGGCUCAACUCCGGGACUGCUUUUGAAACUGUGUGACUGGAGUGCAGGAGAGGUAAGCGGAAUUCCUGGUGUAGCGGUGAAAUGCGUAGAUAUCAGGAGGAACACCAGUGGCGAAGGCGGCUUACUGGACUGUAACUGACGUUGAGGCUCGAAAGCGUGGGGAGCAAACAGGAUUAGAUACCCGGGUA